GACGAACGCUGGCGGCGUGCUUAACACAUGCAAGUCGAACGGACAGGCCAUGCUUUUGUGGGGUGCUCGAGUGCCGAACGGGUGAGUAACACGUGAGUAACCUGCCCUUGUAUUUGGGAUAACUUCAGGAAACUGGGGCUAAUAUAGGAUAGGAGCUCCUGCUGCACGGUGGGGGUUGGAAAGUUUCGGCGGUUGGGGCUGGACUCGCGGGUUAUCAGCUUGUUGGUGGGGUAGUGGCUUACCAAGGCUUUGACGGGUAGCCGGCCUGAGAGGUUGACCGGCGACAUGGGUACUGAGAGACGGCCCAGUCGGCUACGGGAGGCAGCAGGGGGGAAUAUUGCACAAUGGGCCGAAGCCUGAUGCAGCAACGCCGCGUGCGUGAUGACGGCCUACUGGUUGUAAACCGCUUUCGCCGGUGACGAAGCGGGAGUGACGGUAAUGGGUAAAGAAGCACCGGCUAACUACGUG
This 468-nucleotide ribosomal RNA is filed under the name uncultured bacterium. Its description in RNAcentral is "partial 16S ribosomal RNA". It matches the Rfam family "Bacterial small subunit ribosomal RNA", at positions 28 to 507 of the family's 1533-position model. The record is from RNAcentral.